This 345-nucleotide unclassified non-coding RNA is filed under the name soil metagenome. RNAcentral describes it as "partial contains 5.8S ribosomal RNA, internal transcribed spacer 2, and large subunit ribosomal RNA". The stretch from base 1 to 120 matches the Rfam family "5.8S ribosomal RNA", at positions 35 to 154 of the family's 154-position model. The record is from RNAcentral.
GAUGAAGAACGCAGCGAAAUGCGAUAAGUAAUGUGAAUUGCAGAAUUCAGCGAAUCAUCGAGUCUUUGAACGCACAUUGCGCCCCCUGGUAUUCCGGGGGGCAUGCCUGUCCGAGCGUCAUUGCUGCCCUCAAGCACGGCUUGUGUGUUGGGCUCCGCCCCCCUCCCGGGGGGCGGGCCCGAAAGGCAGCGGCGGCACCGCGUCCGGUCCUCGAGCGUAUGGGGCUUUGUCACCCGCUCUGUAGGCCCGGCCGGCGCCCGCCGGCGACCCCAAUCAAUCUUUCCAGGUUGACCUCGGAUCAGGUAGGGAUACCCGCUGAACUUAAGCAUAUCAAUAAGCGGAGGA